CGAGCGGUAGAGAUCUUUCGGGAUCUUGAGAGCGGCGUACGGGUGCGGAACACGUGUGCAACCUGCCUUUAUCUGGGGGAUAGCCUUUCGAAAGGAAGAUUAAUACCCCAUAAUAUACUGGAUGGCAUCAUUCGGUAUUGAAAACUCCGGUGGAUAGAGAUGGGCACGCGCAAGAUUAGAUAGUUGGUGAGGUAACGGCUCACCAAGUCUGCGAUCUUUAGGGGGCCUGAGAGGGUGAUCCCCCACACUGGUACUGAGACACGGACCAGACUCCUACGGGAGGCAGCAGUGAGGAAUAUUGGACAAUGGGUGAGAGCCUGAUCCAGCCAUCCCGCGUGAAGGACGACGGCCCUAUGGGUUGUAAACUUCUUUUGUAUAGGGAUAAACCUACCCUCGUGAGGGUAGCUGAAGGUACUAUACGAAUAAGCACCGGCUAACUCCGUGCCAGCAGCCGCGGUAAUACGGAGGGUGCAAGCGUUAUCCGGAUUUAUUGGGUUUAAAGGGUCCGUAGGCGGAUCUGUAAGUCAGUGGUGAAAUCUCACAGCUUAACUGUGAAACUGCCAUUGAUACUGCAGGUCUUGAGUGUUGUUGAAGUAGCUGGAAUAAGUAGUGUAGCGGUGAAAUGCAUAGAUAUUACUUAGAACACCAAUUGCGAAGGCAGGUUACUAAGCAACAACUGACGCUGAUGGACGAAAGCGUGGGGAGCGAACAGGAUUAGAUACCCUGGUAGUCCACGCCGUAAACGAUGCUAACUCGUUUUUGGAGCGCAAGCUUCAGAGACUAAGCGAAAGUGAUAAGUUAGCCACCUGGGGAGUACGAACGCAAGUUUGAAACUCAAAGGAAUUGACGGGGGCCCGCACAAGCGGUGGAUUAUGUGGUUUAAUUCGAUGAUACGCGAGGAACCUUACCAAGGCUUAAAUGGGAAAUGACAGGUUUAGAAAUAGACUUUUCUUCGGACAUUUUUCAAGGUGCUGCAUGGUUGUCGUCAGCUCGUGCCGUGAGGUGUUAGGUUAAGUCCUGCAACGAGCGCAACCCCUGUCACUAGUUGCCAUCAUUAAGUUGGGGACUCUAGUGAGACUGCCUACGCAAGUAGAGAGGAAGGUGGGGAUGACGUCAAAUCAUCACGGCCCUUACGCCUUGGGCCACACACGUAAUACAAUGGCCGGUACAGAGGGCAGCUACACUGCGAAGUGAUGCAAAUCUCGAAAGCCGGUCUCAGUUCGGAUUGGAGUCUGCAACUCGACUCUAUGAAGCUGGAAUCGCUAGUAAUCGCGCAUCAGCCAUGGCGCGGUGAAUACGUUCCCGGGCCUUGUACACACCGCCCGUCAAGCCAUGGAAGUCUGGGGUACCUGAAGUCGGUGACC
Molecule: ribosomal RNA, 1364 nt
Filed under: Chryseobacterium sp. S8
Lineage: Bacteria; Pseudomonadati; Bacteroidota; Flavobacteriia; Flavobacteriales; Weeksellaceae
Description: 16S ribosomal RNA
Rfam family: Bacterial small subunit ribosomal RNA
Source: RNAcentral